GAUGAACGCUGACAGAAUGCUUAACACAUGCAAGUCAACUGUGGUGGACGGGUGAGUAACGCGUAAAGAACUUGCCUCACAGAUAAGGACAACAUUUGGAAACGAAUGCUAAUACCAGAUACUGUGAUAGAGCUUUGCGUCCCAUUAGCUAGUUGGAGAGGUAACGGCUCACGAAGGCGAUGAUGGGUAGCCGGCCUGAGAGGUUGAUCUGCCAAAAGGGGACGGAGACAAGGCGAUGACGCCGACGGGUGGCAGCAAUGUGGAAUAAUGGACAAUGGACCAAAGUCGGAUCCAGCAAUUCGGUGUGCGGGAUGAAGUUUUCGGAAGGUAAAGUGCUGUCAGUUGGGAAGCGGUACCAACAGAAGAAGUGACGGCUAAAUACGUGCCAGCAGCCGCGGUAAUUC
Molecule: ribosomal RNA, 404 nt
Filed under: uncultured bacterium
Lineage: Bacteria
Description: partial 16S ribosomal RNA
Rfam family: Bacterial small subunit ribosomal RNA
Source: RNAcentral